RNAcentral lists this unclassified non-coding RNA (22 nucleotides) under Mus musculus (house mouse). RNAcentral's name for it is "oocyte_clustered_small_RNA12319". Lineage: Eukaryota; Metazoa; Chordata; Mammalia; Rodentia; Muridae. The record is from RNAcentral.
UCUUGCAGGAUGACUUUGAUAC